This 468-nucleotide ribosomal RNA is filed under the name uncultured bacterium. Its description in RNAcentral is "partial 16S ribosomal RNA". It matches the Rfam family "Bacterial small subunit ribosomal RNA", at positions 28 to 507 of the family's 1533-position model. The record is from RNAcentral.
GACGAACGCUGGCGGCGUGCUUAACACAUGCAAGUCGAACGGAAAGGCCCUGCUUUUGUGGGGUGCUCGAGUGGCGAACGGGUGAGUAACACGUGAGUAACCUGCCCUUGACUUUGGGAUAACUUCAGGAAACUGGGGCUAAUACCGGAUAGGAGCUCCGGCUGCAUGGUGGGGGUGGGAAAGUUUCGGCGGUUGGGGAUGGACUCGCGGCUUAUCAGCUUGUUGGUGGGGUAGUGGCUUACCAAGGCUUUGACGGGUAGCCGGCCUGAGAGGGUGACCGGCCACAUUGGGACUGAGAUACGGCCCAGACUCCUACGGGAGGCAGCAGUGGGGAAUAUUGCACAAUGGGCGGAAGCCUGAUGCAGCAACGCCGCGUGCGGGAUGACGGCCUUCGGGUUGUAAACCGCUUUCGUCUGUGACGAAGCGUGAGUGACGGUAAUGGGUAAAGAAGCACCGGCUAACUACGUG